This 21-nucleotide non-coding RNA is filed under the name Caenorhabditis elegans. The record is from RNAcentral. Lineage: Eukaryota; Metazoa; Nematoda; Chromadorea; Rhabditida; Rhabditidae.
UGAGUCCACGAAUUCUGGAAG